RNAcentral lists this ribosomal RNA (254 nucleotides) under uncultured bacterium. RNAcentral describes it as "partial 16S ribosomal RNA". It matches the Rfam family "Bacterial small subunit ribosomal RNA", at positions 524 to 776 of the family's 1533-position model. The record is from RNAcentral.
UACAGAGGGUGCAAGCGUUUGUUCGGAAUUAUUGGGCGUAAAGCGCGCGCAGGCGGCCUUUUAAGUCUGAUGUGAAAGCCCACGGCUCAACCGUGGAAGGUCAUUGGAAACUGAAAGGCUUGAGUACAGAAGAGGAAAGCGGAAUUCCACGUGUAGCGGUGAAUGACGUAGAGAUGUGGAGGAACACCAGUGGCGAAGGCGGCUUUCUGGUCUGUAACUGACGCUGAGGCGCGAAAGCGUGGGGAGCAAACAGG